CGUCGCAGGAGCAGGUAGUUCACAUGGUCACGUGCGGCCGGAUCUGUUUACAAGCCCUGCGCUGCGGCAGCGCCUCGCGCCCGCCCGGGCCGCCCCCCGAGCGAGGCCGCGGUGCUGCGUCUGCGGCGCUCCGGAGGUGAGGCGCGGGUUGCCUGGCGCCGGGCAGGCGGGUAGGUGGUCGGGACCGGGGGCUUGUGAGCCUCCGCCACUCGCCCGGACCGAUCUCCCCGCCCCUCCUCCUCUUCUUCCCGACCCACUGGAGCCGGCGUGACGGAGGGACGCGUCUCCUAAACUCUGCGCCUCAGUAUCGCCACAAUGUUGCCAUUCGGCUGCUGACGUCGCGGCUCCACGAGGGACGUAAACACGGGCACGUGCCGCACGCUGGUGACGCGGCGGCGGAGGCGCGCACACCCCGCUCGCGCGCGUCGGCCCCGCCCCUCUGCGUCUCCCGCUCCCGCCCCCGCCCGCUCGCGGCCGCGCGCCUGAGUCUUCUCUUCCUCCGACUCAGCCUCCGUCUCCGGCGGUCUGGAGCCAGUGACCCGCAUGCAGGGAGAGGGGCAGGUGUACUCUGCGGGGCAGGUGGCCUCCGAACCCAGGAAAAGAGGAACGAAGGUGGAGGAGCUGAGAAUUUUUGAACUCCAGUCAUUCAAAGCUUGCAGGAUCUUAGUUCACCAACCAGGGAUCGAACCUGGGGCCCCGGCAGUGAGAGCGCUGAGUCCUAACCACUGGCUGUCAGGGAAUUCCCAGGUGAGAAAGCCAUACAAAUUCUAUGUGGCUGAGUUGGGAGUAGAAAGCAAGAUGUGUGAGUCCUGGACUUCCCUGGUGGCACAGUGGUUAAGAAUUCCCCUGCCAAUGCAGGGGACACGAGUUCGAGACCUGGUCCAGGAAGAUCCCUUGUGCCGUGGAGCAACGAAGCUCAUGCGCCACAACUACUGAGCCCACAUGCCACAACUAUUGAAGCCCGUGCACCUAGAGCCCAUGAUCCGCAACAAGAGAAGCCAUUACAGUGAGAAGCCUGCGCACCGCCGCGAAGAGUAGCCCCCACUCGCAGCAACUAGAGAAAGCCCACACACAGCAAUGAAGACCCAACGCGGCCAAAAAUAAAUAAAUUUAUUUUAAAAAAAAA
Molecule: long non-coding RNA, 1126 nt
Organism: Balaenoptera ricei (Rice's whale)
Lineage: Eukaryota; Metazoa; Chordata; Mammalia; Artiodactyla; Balaenopteridae
Exons: 3
Source: RefSeq, a predicted model, not a curated record